CCCGGUGGUGAUAGCGAGGGUGUUCCACCCGUUCCCAUCCCGAACACGGAAGUUAAGCCCCUCUGCGCCGAUGGUACUGCGUGGGUAACUGCGUGGGAGAGUAGGUCGUCGCCGGGA
RNAcentral lists this ribosomal RNA (117 nucleotides) under Nitrospinota bacterium. The record is from RNAcentral. Lineage: Bacteria; Pseudomonadati; Nitrospinota.